Molecule: long non-coding RNA, 1001 nt
Filed under: Meleagris gallopavo (turkey)
Lineage: Eukaryota; Metazoa; Chordata; Aves; Galliformes; Phasianidae
Description: lncRNA (ENSMGAG00000019528.1)
Source: RNAcentral
UUCCUUGAUUCAGCUGCUUGGACUACAGCAUCCUAAUGCAAUCACACUGAGGUUUUCUCUGUCAGUACUAUCUUUCAAAACUAUCUUUUUGUCAGCAAACUGAAUGGUGUAAGCACAGAACAGAGUUCCAGCCAGCAAUCUGUCAUCAGUAGCAUCCUGCUCUUAAGCUGGGCUGAUGGUCCUGCGUUUCCCCCAGGAACGUGAAAUUCUGAUACACGAGUGCAGUUCAUUCCGUGAAACCAUUUUUUAAAUUGUUUGCUGUUAGAAAAUGUUGGAGCAGAACACAAGGCUUUCUUUGCAGGUCGCUAUCAAGAGAACUAAGGAAGGAUGUAGAUGUGGUAUUGAUGUCUUUCUUCAGGCUGUGUCUGAGGUAAGGAAAAUACUCUUUCCCUAUCUCUGCAGUUAGAAUAUGAAGCAGAAGCAGCAUUUCUUUCAUGUGUAGUUGCUUAAUUUAUCCUGUUGUUCUUUAUUUUCCUUGUUGAUAUAAUAGGAAUAUUUGUCACUGAAUGGUUUAUUGUCUUUGCUUACAACUCUGUAUUAUUUCAUCAAUACCAACUAUAUGUAUGUCUGUUUGUUUUUUUUUUUUAUUAGCUGGUGUACCCUAGAUUAAUGAUGUAUCAUUGUACCAAAUUGCUUUGGUUUUCUCCUCUAAUAUUACCCCAUUAAGUCUGUAAAUGAGUGGGUUUCUUUUCCUGGGCAGGCAAUUGUUACACAAACUUUACUAAACUGAGUUAGAAAUGAUUUCCACCGUGAAUCACUUUCCUUGUAAGCUGAUGACUUUUAUGGUAAUGUUUAACUUAAGCAGAUUUGUUUUCAAAUGUGCAAUGCACUAUUCUUUUUUUAACAGUACUUAAUAAAAAAAUUAGAUAAACAACAUGAUAGGAAUCAAUACUUAUUUCCUUGUCUACUAAAUGCUGCCUGUUAUGGGAGGUUAAUCACUCUACAAUGUUAAAUUGCUAUUAUAAUCAGUUCAGCUGAAAGGUGUCACUGCAACACUGGCC